GGGGAAUUUUGGACGAUGGGCGCAAGCCUGAUCCAGCCAUGCCGCGUGAGUGAAGAAGGCCUUCGGGUUAUAAAGCUCUUUCGGCGGGGAAGAAAUGGCACGCUCUAACAUAGCGUGUUGAUGACGGUACCCGCAUGAGAAGCACCGGCUAACUACGUGCCAGCAGCCGCGGUAAUACGUAGGGUGCGAGCGUUAAUCGGAAUUACUGGGCGUAAAGCGUGCGCAGGCGGUUUCGUAAGACAGAGGUGAAAUCCCCGGGCUCAACCUGGGAAUGGCCUUUGUGACUGCGAGGCUAGAGUGUGACAGAGGGGGGUAGAAUUCCACGUGUAGCAGUGAAAUGCGUAGAGAUGUGGAGGAAUACCGAUGGCGAAGGCAGCCCCCUGGGUUACUACUGACGCUCAUGCACGAAAGCGUGGGGAGCAAAC
This 425-nucleotide ribosomal RNA is filed under the name uncultured bacterium. RNAcentral describes it as "bacterial SSU rRNA". It matches the Rfam family "Bacterial small subunit ribosomal RNA", at positions 356 to 773 of the family's 1533-position model. The record is from RNAcentral.